UACAGAGGGGGCAAGCGUUGUUCGGAAUUACUGGGCGUAAAGGGCGCGUAGGCGGCCCGCUAAGUCGAACGUGAAAUCCCCAGGCUCAACCUGGGAACUGCGUCCGAUACUGGCAGGCUUGAAUCCGGGAGAGGGAUGCGGAAUUCCAGGUGUAGCGGUGAAAUGCGUAGAUAUCUGGAGGAACACCGGUGGCGAAGGCGGCAUCCUGGACCGGCAUUGACGCUGAGGCGCGAAAGCCAGGGGAGCAAACGGG
This 253-nucleotide ribosomal RNA is filed under the name uncultured bacterium. Its description in RNAcentral is "partial 16S ribosomal RNA". It matches the Rfam family "Bacterial small subunit ribosomal RNA", at positions 524 to 776 of the family's 1533-position model. The record is from RNAcentral.